Vicia faba (fava bean) is the source of this 240-nucleotide non-coding RNA. Lineage: Eukaryota; Viridiplantae; Streptophyta; Magnoliopsida; Fabales; Fabaceae. The record is from the annotation of a GenBank genome assembly.
AUGAAGGUUCGUGUGGCGAAGGAUGUUCCUCCACCUCCUUCUCAGACUCUUACCACGUCCUCGAUUGAAGUGGGAAUGCGUACAUACCUAAGAGAAAAUGAGACUUUGCUUACAGACAGAAACACACGACCCAAACCGAGCAAGAAAAUAUGGUGGACCCAAGGCGCCCUUCAUUUGAAAGUCGAAGCAAGAAAUCUCACGACCGAUCAUCAUCUAUUGAUGGUGAAACCACCAAUAUAA